GCAUGAAGCUGGAAUCGCUAGUAAUCGCGGAUCAGAAUGCCGCGGUGAAUACGUUCCCGGGUCUUGUACACACCGCCCGUCACACCAUGAGAGUUGGCAAUACCCAACGUACGUGAUCUAACCCGCAAGGGGAGGAAGCGUCCUAAGGUAGGGUCAGCGAUUGGGGUGAAGUCGUAACAAGGUAAC
This 186-nucleotide ribosomal RNA is filed under the name uncultured bacterium. RNAcentral's name for it is "partial 16S ribosomal RNA". It matches the Rfam family "Bacterial small subunit ribosomal RNA", at positions 1318 to 1500 of the family's 1533-position model. The record is from RNAcentral.